Molecule: non-coding RNA, 1755 nt
Filed under: Pan troglodytes (chimpanzee)
Lineage: Eukaryota; Metazoa; Chordata; Mammalia; Primates; Hominidae
Source: RNAcentral
AGCUGCCGGCGUUGCCCUCUCCCAAGAUGGCGGCCAGGUCGCCUGCUCGGGCCUCCCAGGCGACUUUGCCCCACUGCGCCCGCGCUCUCUUCUCCUUUCCAUUUCUGGACCAAGGGGCUGCCAUAAGGAGUCUGUGACUAGAGAUGGGAGGUGGUGGCCACGGCCUCUCGCUGUAUGCUGUGUGGAAGGUCGAAUCAUCAUCAUCAUAAAACUUAAUAUUGCCCUUAUGUGCCAGGAACUACUAUCUCAGCAAUGGAGAUGUGGUGCUUGGCCGCAAUCGUGAAUCGGCCCUGGAGGGGACACAGGAAGGGGCUGCCUGCGACUCAUGACCUCCUGCGUGCCUGCCUGCUGACCUAUGACCCUUCAAGUUCCCACCCCUCAGCCACGCCUGUGAGGAGGGUCUUGUUUUGUCACCUACGCUGGAGUGCAGUGGUGUGAUCACAGCUCACUGCAGCCUCAACUUCCUGGACUCAAGCGAUUUUCCUGCCUCAACCUCCCAAGAACUAGGACCCCAGGUGCAUGCCACUACACCAGGCUAAUUUGUUGUAGAGAGGAGGUCUUGCUAUGUUGCCCAGGCUGGUCUCGAACUCCUGUGCCCAAAAGAUCCUCCCACCUCAGCCUCCCAACAUGCCAGGAUUACAGGCAUGAGCCACCCUGCCCAGCUCAAUAACCUAAGUUCUAUGAAUGAAAACCAUGACUGCCUGUGGAGUGAGGGGGCCGUCAGGCUGGUGGGGAGCUGGGUGAAGACCCAGCCAGCCCAGGCCAGCUCAGGUGACCUAAUCCCCCCAGCUCCCACUUCCCCCUCCCCAAGUGGUUUGGCCGCAGAAUAAGAACAGUGCUGGGGGUGCUGAAAGAGGGGACGCAAGGCUGGGGCAAUGCAGUGGGACCCGGGGGUGUCAGGACAAGCAAGCAGCCCUUACCAUGUCUGUGUAGAUCUCGAUUGCUCGCAUCAAACAGUUAAUGGCCUCUGGAGAGAAAGGGAGGUGGGAGGAGACAUGAGAAAGUGAAGUCGUUUCAGCAGAAGCCGAGGAGAGGAGGCGGACGCAGGCGCACCUGGCUGCCAGCAGAGAGAUCAAUAGGCACUCAGAGCUGCCAGCGCUGCCACACACUCUCAAGGGGCUGGGAAGAAGGGGACGGAAUCCCUGAGCCCCAGGAAAUCUGGUGAGAGGGCUGACUCUGCAGACUGUGACUUGCUGGGCACAUGCUUCUGGGGGAGCCCUUCUCUCCUCGGGCUGCCAGGAUGCUACCAGCUUCCCACAACCCCAGGGACAGGGCACAGCAGUGCUAGGCCAGGAUGAUGGCCAGACUCCCACGGGUGUUUUAAGACAGACCUGCCAAGGCCCUGCUCUUGAAGGACUGAGCUGCUGGCAAAGGGGAAGGAGGCAUGGGAGGCGGCCAAGCCAGCAUCUCAGGUGGUCUUGGAGGCAACAGGGGUGCCAGGUUCUACCUGGGCUCUGCCACCAUCUCUGCAGGAUCCUGAGCAGCUUCUGUUCCUGCACCAGGAGGACCUGGACCUCUGGCACGAGGAGGCUGGAUGUCAUCAACACUGAGCCCUCAGUGUGCUCUCCACUGCCCCCUCUUCCUCGUAGCUCAGCAGUCGGGAGCCCUCUGCUCAGUCCCUUUAACCUAGUCCUGCCACCCACCAGCUCCUCAAAGGUUUUGCCAAAAAACCUGAACACACCAGGAUGGCACUGAGGAAGAACUGGGCUACCUUUGUUGUACUAUCUCUUGCAAGAUUUUAAAUUUGGGAAAGGC